GACCCCUAGACUGAGUCUGGACCUUAUAAGUAGAGUAUGUCCCAUCAACAUCAUCCUUAGUUUGGAUAGAGGAGUUUUUGUGAUUUUUAGAUUAUCGAGGAGGCAUAAUUUGAAAAACAAUCAAAUAGAAAUCAGAAGAAUACAAGACCUUAGACUCUAUAGCCUAAAAUAAGACUACAAGAAAGAGGAACAUUCCUAAAU
Molecule: long non-coding RNA, 201 nt
Filed under: Capsicum annuum
Lineage: Eukaryota; Viridiplantae; Streptophyta; Magnoliopsida; Solanales; Solanaceae
Description: long non-coding RNA (CANN_LNC015669)
Source: RNAcentral